UGCGUAGACGGCAAGAUAAGUCAAUUAUUAAAUCUCCUGGCUUAACCAGGAAUCUGUGAUUGAAACUGGCUUGCUUGAGGAUGGAAGAGAGAAGUGGAAUUCUCGGAGUAGCGGUAAAAUGCGUAGAUCUCGAGAGGAACACCGAUGGCGAAGGCAGCUUCUUGGUCCAUUUCUGACGUUGAGGCACGAAAGCGUGGGGAGCAAACAGGAUUAGAUACCCUGGUAGUCCACGCUGUAAACGAUGAUCACUAGAUGUUAGGUCCGCUUUAGGGCUUAGUGUCGCAGCUAACGCGUUAAGUGAUCCGCCUGGGAAGUACGGUCGCAAGAUUAAA
This 332-nucleotide ribosomal RNA is filed under the name uncultured bacterium. Its description in RNAcentral is "bacterial SSU rRNA". It matches the Rfam family "Bacterial small subunit ribosomal RNA", at positions 568 to 898 of the family's 1533-position model. The record is from RNAcentral.